This 212-nucleotide long non-coding RNA is filed under the name Elaeis guineensis (African oil palm). Its description in RNAcentral is "long non-coding RNA (EGUI_LNC012394)". The record is from RNAcentral. Lineage: Eukaryota; Viridiplantae; Streptophyta; Magnoliopsida; Arecales; Arecaceae.
CCCCCUGCUAUCUAUGAAGCUGAAGAUCAUAUUGAUGACACCUACCGUGGGUCAGUUGCUGUUGUUCUCCUCAUCAAGUAGGUGCCAAGAUGGCUCUUCAAGAACUUGAAUCUGUCGAUCCCUAACAUACUUUCUGAAAUAGCCUAUUUAUAUUAGGGCUUCAAUCUUGUCCUUGAGCUGGAGUCAUUCCUCGAUAUCAUGAUCGUGGUCAU